GUGGACGUAGCUUAGCCCGGACGAAAGCACCGGCCUGCCGCGCCGGGGAGGCGGGUUCAAAUCCCGUCGUCCACU
Molecule: transfer RNA, 75 nt
Filed under: Acidobacteriota bacterium
Lineage: Bacteria; Pseudomonadati; Acidobacteriota
Description: tRNA-Gly
Rfam family: tRNA
About the family: Transfer RNA (tRNA) molecules are approximately 80 nucleotides in length. Their secondary structure includes four short double-helical elements and three loops (D, anti-codon, and T loops). Further hydrogen bonds mediate the characteristic L-shaped molecular structure. tRNAs have two regions of fundamental functional importance: the anti-codon, which is responsible for specific mRNA codon recognition, and the 3' end, to which the tRNAs corresponding amino acid is attached (by aminoacyl-tRNA synthetases). tRNAs cope with the degeneracy of the genetic code in two manners: having more than one tRNA (with a specific anti-codon) for a particular amino acid; and 'wobble' base-pairing, i.e. permitting non-standard base-pairing at the 3rd anti-codon position.
Source: RNAcentral